GCGCUGGUGGUGUAGGGGUUAAGCGCGCGGCCAUAUGCAGAGGUUGCGGUCCUCGAGGCGGCUGUCCCGGGUUCGGGUCCCGGACCCGGCGACA
This is a non-coding RNA of Ataeniobius toweri, 94 nucleotides long. The record is from the annotation of a GenBank genome assembly. Lineage: Eukaryota; Metazoa; Chordata; Actinopteri; Cyprinodontiformes; Goodeidae.